This 462-nucleotide ribosomal RNA is filed under the name uncultured Sphingobacteriales bacterium. Its description in RNAcentral is "bacterial SSU rRNA". It matches the Rfam family "Bacterial small subunit ribosomal RNA", at positions 920 to 1382 of the family's 1533-position model. The record is from RNAcentral. Lineage: Bacteria; Pseudomonadati; Bacteroidota; Sphingobacteriia; Sphingobacteriales.
CCCGCACAAGCGGAGGAACAUGUGGUUUAAUUCGAUGAUACGCGAGGAACCUUACCUGGGCUUAAAUGUAGAGUGCAUUCCCGAGAAAUCGGGAUUUUCUUCGGAACUCUUUGCAAGGUGCUGCAUGGUUGUCGUCAGCUCGUGCCGUGAGGUGUCGGGUUAAGUCCCAUAACGAGCGCAACCCUUAUCGUUAGUUGCCAGCGGGUAAUGCCGGGAACUCUAGCGAAACUGCCGGUGUAAACCGUGAGGAAGGUGGGGAUGACGUCAAAUCAGCACGGCCCUUAUGUCCAGGGCUACACACGUGUUACAAUGGCCGGUACAGAGGGCAGCUACCUGGAGACAGGAUGCGAAUCUCCAAAGCCGGUCUCAGUUCGGAUCGGAGUCUGCAACUCGACUCCGUGAAGCUGGAUUCGCUAGUAAUCGCGCAUCAGCUAUGGCGCGGUGAAUACGUUCCCGGGCCUU